This 207-nucleotide ribosomal RNA is filed under the name uncultured bacterium. Its description in RNAcentral is "partial 16S ribosomal RNA". It matches the Rfam family "Bacterial small subunit ribosomal RNA", at positions 568 to 774 of the family's 1533-position model. The record is from RNAcentral.
UGCGUAGGCGGGUCUUUAAGUCAGGGGUGAAAUCCUGGAGCUCAACUCCAGAACUGCCUUUGAUACUGAGGAUCUUGAGUUCGGGAGAGGUGAGUGGAACUGCGAGUAUAGAGGUGAAAUUCGUAGAUAUUCGCAAGAACACCAGUGGCGAAGGCGGCUCACUGGCCCGAUACUGACGCUGAGGCACGAAAGCGUGGGGAGCAAACA